This is a long non-coding RNA of Rosa rugosa (rugosa rose), 1057 nucleotides long. RefSeq lists it as uncharacterized. The record is from RefSeq and is a predicted model, not a curated record. The transcript has 2 exons. Lineage: Eukaryota; Viridiplantae; Streptophyta; Magnoliopsida; Rosales; Rosaceae.
UCUAACUAGAAUCCAAAGAUGCAGAAUUCUCUCAGUCACUUUAGAGGUGGUGUUUGAGUUAUUUAUCAUUGGUAAAAAUUUAUAUAUUUGGGUUCUGAUGGAUCACUUAGAGUUUAAGGAAAAGGUAAAUUUUGAAAAAGGUGUGAGUUAUGGCAGGUUUCUUAUCUCAAGGAGAUAUAUGACUAGUAUUUUCCUCCCUUCUUAUGCAGUGGGCUGUAAAUACAUUGAAGAAGCCAGUUCUUACUAUUAAUUGGUUAUAUCAAUGCUGCAAUGAACAUCGCAUUGUUCCUCAAGAAUCCUUUAGGGUUCUUCCUGUUUCUGGUUUGACGAUCUGUGUUACCAGAAUUCCAUCAGAUAAACGGAAGAAGAUUGAAAAUUUUAUCACAGAAAAUGGUGGACAUUAUUCUGCUGAACUUACAAGGAAGUGCACACAUUUGAUUUGUGAUAUAUCCUUUUAUGGUGCUUAAUAUAAAGGCACAAAUUUGAAUCAUAUUCCUAGUUUUCUAGGAUAGACCUGCAUUUUAAGCAUCAUCAUGAAGCAAAGCCUUUAAUUAUCUAUAAUAGUGGGCUGUCUAAGAUCAUGUCUUCACUUUAAUAUAAACCAACACCACACUUUCGUUGCUAAUGUGCUCGUCUAAGAUCACGUCUUCAUUUUUUUUAUUUUUUUUAUCUAGGCCUGCAAUUUCUGUAGUGAGGAAUAUCAUUUACAUCUGUUUUAGUUGUUAUGUUUCUGAUGUUUCAGUUUUUGUCAGUUCUUCGUGCAUGUUAUUGUUAUUGCAAUUCCAUUUAGGAACAUGUUUCGAUCUUGGUCUGCAUCAGCAUUGACUUUCAAACUUAUUGUGUUAUUUGAGUCUUCCUGCAUUGUUUUUCUUGACUGCUUGCACGCUCCAGUUGGAUGAUGAUGCCCUACCAUCGAUGCAUGACAACGUCCAAUUUGAUGAUAGUGAAUUUACCUUGUUUUUUGUAAUCCAAGAAUUUACCUUGAUAUGAAAUGUAUUUUGCUAGAAAUGUAAACAACAUCUUGCUAUAUAUGAAUGUAAAGUUUUAAUAUUUUCGA